UACGGAAGGCAGCGGUGGGGAAUAUUGCACAAUGGGCGAAAGCCUGAUGCAGCUAUGCCGCGUGUAUGAAGAAGGCCUUAGGGUUGUAAAGUACUUUCAUCGGGGAGGAAAAACAAAACUAAUAAUUUUAUUUCUUGACGUUACCCGAAAAAGAAGCACCGGCUAACUCCGUGCCAGCAGCCGCGGUAAUACGGAGGGUGCUAGCGUUAAUCAGAAUUACUGGGCGUAAAGAGCACGUAGGUGGUUUUUUUAAGUCAGAUGUGAAAUCCCUGGGCUUAACCUGGAACUGCAUUUUGAAACUGAAAUACUAGAGUAUCGUAGAGGGAGGUAGAAUUCUAGGUGUAGCGGUGAAAUGCGUAGAUAUCUGGAGGAAUACCUGUGGCGAAAGCGGCCUCCUAAACGAAUACUGACACUGAGGUGCGAAAGCGUGGGGAGCAAACAGGGAUUAGAUACC
RNAcentral lists this ribosomal RNA (454 nucleotides) under uncultured bacterium. RNAcentral's name for it is "bacterial SSU rRNA". It matches the Rfam family "Bacterial small subunit ribosomal RNA", at positions 340 to 786 of the family's 1533-position model. The record is from RNAcentral.